This 200-nucleotide ribosomal RNA is filed under the name uncultured bacterium. RNAcentral describes it as "partial 16S ribosomal RNA". It matches the Rfam family "Bacterial small subunit ribosomal RNA", at positions 29 to 258 of the family's 1533-position model. The record is from RNAcentral.
AACGAACACUGGCGGCAGGCUUAACACAUGCAAGUCGAACGCUCCGCAAGGAGAGUGGCAGACGGGUGAGUAACGCGUGAGAAUCUACCUAGUUCUACGGAACAACACAGGGGAACUUGUGCUAAUACCGUAUACGCCCUACAGGGGAAAGAUUUAUCGGAAUUAGAUGAGCCCGCGUAAGAUUAGCUAGUUGGUGGGGU